CGGGCACCUUCGGGUGUCAGUGGCAGACGGGUGAGUAACACGUGGGAACGUGCCCUUCGGUUCGGAAUAACUCAGGGAAACUUGAGCUAAUACCGGAUACGCCCUUAUGGGGAAAGGUUUACCGCCGAAGGAUCGGCCCGCGUCUGAUUAGCUAGUUGGUGGGGUAACGGCCUACCAAGGCGACGAUCAGUAGCUGGUCUGAGAGGAUGAUCAGCCACACUGGGACUGAGACACGGCCCAG
This 241-nucleotide ribosomal RNA is filed under the name uncultured bacterium. Its description in RNAcentral is "partial 16S ribosomal RNA". It matches the Rfam family "Bacterial small subunit ribosomal RNA", at positions 67 to 334 of the family's 1533-position model. The record is from RNAcentral.